ACAACCACAUGGGAUCUUCUUAAACCCUAUCAUUAACACGUGGCACUCCCAUAUGUAGCCAUAAAUAUUUUUCCUGCUCCUUCAUUUUCAGAAUUAAAUCAAUGAUAUCCCAAAAAAUCAAUCAAAAUAUUUGGUAAAUCCCCAUAAAUCAGUCACCUGAUUAUCGAUUUUUGGUUAGUCGAUGAUCACAACAUAUACGUACGGAAGCUAAUCAUCAAUUCGAUUACAAAUACACCUCCAUUGUUACAUAUGCCUCCUCCCAUGAAGAUUUUUGAUGCUAUUCGAAGGGCUUUACCCCUAAGUUAUGGUUUUAUUUACUAUUUCCCUUUCAAACCUCCGUGUUUUCACUCCAAUCGACUCACUCAUUUGCAAAAUACCAACUUUCAUCUCCGUACAACUUUAAUAUCUCAAUUUGAAGAAAUGGCUGAAAUAACUAAGAGAUGACAUCUGGUUCCUGAGUCGAAAAAGCAGAAGACAAACAAGGAAUGGUCUAAUAGUAAAAGAAAAAAAACCAAGAAGCUAAAGACUUUAAGACAAAGAACACUGCAAACAGGUUAUUUUAAACAAGGAAAAUACCUAAUUAUUUAGCUAAUUUUUUUAUAUUAAGUAUCAAUCCCGUGGACCUAAAAUCAAAGAAGAUUUUGGAGCUCUUGCAUUUGAGAUAAGUGAUGUUCCUUCUUCCUUAUCUUGAUUUCGACACGGUUAAUUUUAUUGUUUUUUCUCUUAAUUUUGUAAUUUUUUUUGAAUGAGUAAAGUAUAUGUUAAUUCUGAACAUAUUUUGUCUAAAUGUGAUGCAGGUAUGUAGUCACUCAAGUUAUAUAACAUGAUCAAGGUGUUAAGAAGGGAAAAAGCUUUAUCUUCCAUAUAAGCUAAAGUUUAUAUUACCAAUAAAUUUGAUAAAUAUAUAAAUCAUAUGUAUUUUUUGGAACUUAAGUAAUUGAAGUAUUUAAUUAAUAAAUGAUUGUACGAACUUCUCUAUA
This is a long non-coding RNA of Lactuca sativa (garden lettuce), 980 nucleotides long. RefSeq lists it as uncharacterized. The record is from RefSeq and is a predicted model, not a curated record. Lineage: Eukaryota; Viridiplantae; Streptophyta; Magnoliopsida; Asterales; Asteraceae.